This 428-nucleotide ribosomal RNA is filed under the name Gemmatimonadota bacterium. Its description in RNAcentral is "Gemmatimonadetes bacterium partial 16S ribosomal RNA". It matches the Rfam family "Bacterial small subunit ribosomal RNA", at positions 355 to 776 of the family's 1533-position model. The record is from RNAcentral. Lineage: Bacteria; Pseudomonadati; Gemmatimonadota.
UAGGGAAUCUUCGGCAAUGGACGAAAGUCUGACCGAGCAACGCCGCGUGAGUGAAGAAGGUUUUCGGAUCGUAAAACUCUGUUGUUAGAGAAGAACAAGGACGUUAGUAACUGAACGUCCCCUGACGGUAUCUAACCAGAAAGCCACGGCUAACUACGUGCCAGCAGCCGCGGUAAUACGUAGGUGGCAAGCGUUGUCCGGAUUUAUUGGGCGUAAAGCGAGCGCAGGCGGUUUCUUAAGUCUGAUGUGAAAGCCCCCGGCUCAACCGGGAGGGUCAGUGGAAACUGGGAGACUUGAGUGCAGAAGAGGAGAGUGGAAUUCCAUGUGUAGCGGUGAAAGGCGUAGAUAUAUGGAGGAACACCAGUGGCGAAGGCGGCUCUCUGGUCUGUAACUGACGCUGAGGCUCGAAAGCGUGGGGAGCAAACAGG